UCGGGAAUUUUGGGCAAUGGGCGAAAGCCUGACCCAGCAACGCCGCGUGAAGGAUGAAGUAUUUCGGUAUGUAAACUUCGAAAGAAUGGGAAGAAUAAAUGACGGUACCAUUUAUAAGCUCCGGCUAACUACGUGCCAGCAGCCGCGGUAAUACGUAGGGAGCAAGCGUUGUUCGGAUUUACUGGGCGUAAAGGGCGCGUAGGCGGCGCGGUAAGUCACUUGUGAAAUCUCUGAGCUUAACUCAGAACGGCCAAGUGAUACUGCAGUGCUAGAGUGCAGAAAGGGCAAUCGGAAUUCUUGGUGUAGCGGUGAAAUGCGUAGAUAUCAAGAGGAACACCUGAGGCGAAGGCGGGUUGCUAGGCUGACACUGACGCUGAGGCGCGAAAGCCAGGGGAGCAAACGGGAUUAGAUACCCCGGUAGUCCUGGCCCUAAACGAUGAAUACUUGGUGUCUGGAGUCAUUAAUGCUCCGGGUGCCGUCGCUAACG
RNAcentral lists this ribosomal RNA (487 nucleotides) under uncultured Acidobacteriota bacterium. RNAcentral's name for it is "bacterial SSU rRNA". It matches the Rfam family "Bacterial small subunit ribosomal RNA", at positions 355 to 857 of the family's 1533-position model. Lineage: Bacteria; Pseudomonadati; Acidobacteriota. The record is from RNAcentral.